RNA transcript from Xyrauchen texanus (razorback sucker), 4255 nucleotides. It is a transcript of the gene named limb region 1 homolog-like protein, with no coding region annotated. The record is from RefSeq and is a predicted model, not a curated record. The transcript is spliced from 17 exons. Lineage: Eukaryota; Metazoa; Chordata; Actinopteri; Cypriniformes; Catostomidae.
ACAUGCUGACUCGGAGAGUUCCAUCGUGGUUACGAUUUCCCUGUUAACAGGUAAAUUAUCAUGCGCGAAGUCUUUAUCCACCGAGAAUGAAAUUGAAGUGAAACAUGAAAAGCUUGUUGACAUUGCGACUUCAGUUGGACCAACUGCCAAUGCAUUUUAAGGGAAAAAGCCUUCGUGUACUUUAAGUAUUCGAGCCUUACCUACUCGGAGAAAUGUUUUGCAGCUUAUAACCGAGGACACUCCAAGACAUGGUUUCAAAGCAUGGAAACAGACGACGUGUCGGUGAGAGAGCAACUAUUCCACGACCGAGUCCGAGAAAUCAUUAUUUGCGUGCUACUUUUCAGUUGCCUGUACAUCUUGUCCCACUUCAUUCUCACUCACUUCAAGAAGAAUGCUGAGUUUGUCACUGAUGACACUGAGGAUGCCAUUGUCAACAGAAUUGCGCUGUGGCUUUGUACGUUCACACUCUCAGUGGCAAUGUGUGCAGUGCUGCUCUUGCCCAUCUCCAUCCUGUCCAAUGAAGUUCUGCUUACAUUUCCACAGAGUUACUACAUGCAGUGGCUCAAUGGAUCACUCAUCCGCGGCUUGUGGAACCUAGUCUUCUUAUUUUCAAACCUCUCUCUGGUCUUCCUCAUGCCAUUUGCCUAUUUUUUCACUGAAUCGGAAGGGUUUGCUGGGUCUAAAAAGGGUGUUAUGGCACGGGUGUAUGAGACUGCUGUGAUGCUGCUGCUUCUCAGUUUGUUGAUACUGGGCAUUGUAUGGGUGGCAUCAGCUCUCCUCCAUCACAACACUGCCCGUGAAAGUUUUUAUGACCUGUGGGAAUAUUACCUGCCUCAUCUCUACUCUGGAAUCUCACUCUUUGGAGUUCUACUGCUUUUGGUGUGUACACCCUUUGGGCUGUCACGUAUGUUUAGUGUCACUGGGAGCUUAUUGGUCAAACCUCGGUUGUUGGAGAAUGUAGAAGAUUCAGUGGACUGUGCAACAUUUGAAGAGGCCUCUCUCUACAGGAAGCUGAACAGUAACACCUCCUGCUGGAUCAGUGUCACUGUAGAGGCAAUCAACAAGCAAUUUUUGAGUGUACAGGCCAAACGCAUUGCUUUAGAAUUGCGGAAGAGAGCAUCUCCAUGGCAGCGCAACCUGGGAUACCCACUUGCUAUGCUGCUGCUUUUAGCUUUAACUGUGGUGUGUGUGCUGAUGGUGUGUUUCCAUGUACUUGAACUCCUUUUUGAUGAGUCUGCUAUGCCUAGAGGAAUGGAGGACCCUCGCCUGGGGCUUGCUUCUUUCUCCAUGUUUGGUUCUUUGGGAGCUGCAGUGCAGGUGGUCAUUAUCCUGUAUCUCAUGGUCUCCUCUGUCGUCGGCUUCUACAGCUCUCCGCUCUUCACUGGUUUACUGCCGCAUGCACAGGACACCACCCUCACACAGAUUAUAGGGAACUGUGUGUCACUUCUAAUACUUAGUUCAGCUCUGCCUGUCUUCUCUCGCACAUUGGGAAUCACAAGGUUUGACCUUCUUGGAGACUUUGGACGGUACAACUGGCUCGGCAAUUUCCACAUUGUUUUCCUGUACAACGUGCUGUUUGCUGGGCUCACCUCCGCCUGCCUCAUUAACACAGUCACAUGGGCCUUACAAAGAGAACUCAUUCGUGCCUUUGGUCUCCACCGACUGCCUUUGACUGUGUCUCGAUCUACGAUCCCCCUCAAACUUCUCCUGGCCAGUGGGCUGACAAGAAUUCAGUGAAGAGCGACCAUCGAUCGCUGUGUCUUUCUCCUGUUGGACCAGAACUAUGUGUUUAGUACAUCAUAGGUGAAUAUUCACCACAGCUGUGCUCUCACAGGUUGGCUGAAAGGAGAUAUUUCAGAGGAUGACAUCACACCCAUGACAGUGUUUCCUUUUCCUGGUGGUGGAAUGAGAGUGUUUUUCUCUCCUGGUGGGCCCCAACGCUUUCCCCUUGUAUACCACUAUUUUUAGUGUCAUCCAGCGAAUGUACUUGGGGGUGCCUACUGUACUGCUGUAUGGAGCCAUUUGCAGGACGUCCAGUCUGAUGUGUGAUAGGGUUUGUCUUCUAACUGAAGAAACAUUUUGAGGAAAGGGAUUAAAGUGGACCAGCACUGAUCUUGUUAGUUUAUAUACUGUAUGGGAAUUAUAGAUUAUAUCAAAUGGGAAUACGUUUUAAAAGAAAACCACAUUUUGAUAUGUGUCUUUGCAGAGUUCAGGUUUUAAAAUGUAUGAAAAAAAAAGUGUCAUGUAUCCUUGAUGGCUGAUGCUGGUUUCAAGCUUAUGGCCAAGUUAACUGUGAAUGUUUUGGGUUUUCCCUGUAUUUGUUAUUCCAUAUGUGAAUCUUUAAUGUGCAAUAUGGUAUUAUGUAAAGUGAACACCUUUACACAAAUCUAACUUAAUUUGUUCAGAUGACCAAAUGAGGCAGGUCUGGUUCAGUGGUGUCUGUACUGAUUAAUGGGAAAGUUAAUGAUGUUAAGUAUAAUAAUUUUUGGGUGGACUAUCUCUAUAAGAACACCCAGAUUGGUAAGUAAGGUCAAUGUUUGGCUAGUUUGGACAUUUUUAGGUUAAGCAGCAUAGAGGGACAAUCAACACGGACACUAGGGUGCUGUGAUUUAAGAUAAACGGGUCUUUCUAAAUUCGACAAUCACUCAUUAUUGUUUUUUAUAUGGUGCAGUAUUAUUUAUGGUGUACACAUUCAGUUUGCUGAUCACUUUUAUAUGUAAGAUUCUAUUUAUAUACAAAUCUCUUUCAGGUGGUGGCCAGUAGGAGACAGUAUGUCAAAAUGUAUUAUGUAUUAGCGCUCUAAACCUCAGUGUUUUGGGAUCUUUCUUAAUUAAUUUUUCUCUCAAGUCCAAGCAUACAUUGUAGCUUUCUCAUUUUAAAACAUUAUAAUUUUAUAAAUCAAAAUUAUAUUUUCAUUGCGUAUCUUUUACUGUCCUAUAGCUAUAUUAAAGGGAUAGUCCACGAAAAAUGAAAAUAGUCAUAAUUUACUCACCCUAAUAUUGCUCCUGGCCAAUUUGACUUUCUUUUGUGUCAGUCACCAUCCACUUUCAUGGUACUGGAAAAACGAGAUGCAAUGAAAGUAAAUGGUGAUUGAGCUGUCUCGUUUUGUGUUGCACAGAUGAAAGUACAUCAUUCAGGUUUGGUUCUAAAAGAGGAUGAGUAAAUGAUGACAGAAUUUACAUUUUGGGCUGAACUAUCCCUUUAAGACCAAUCUGGGUAAGUGUUUUAAAAAAAAUAAAUAAUAAUUUUUAACUUUAAGGAUGGUAAUGCAAAAGAUUGAUUGUUGAGCUCUGACAGGCUAUAUGUCCUGCAUUAAUGAAUCGUAUGAGGAUCACUUUUCCAUUAUUAAUGGCAAAACGUUUUUAUAGAAACAAAGAAAAUGCAGUGAACACAAUUUAUUUUUUUAAAGAAACUGCUGAUAUUGUAAGAGUUUGAAUGUAUUUUCAAAUUCAGUUAAAUCACUUCAAGAAAAGUCAGCAGUUGUGACGAACUGUAGCAUUUUGUGAACCAAGAACAAUAAAUGUAUUCUCACCUGUUUUGUAACCAAUGUGUCAUUUGUAAGAGUAAAUAUUGUUCUUAGUAUGGGGCAAGUGAUAAAGAAACUAGUUUUUGACUAAAUCGUCCUAUGACCAUUAAAGAGAGGUCAGCAUACAUUGCGUGCCAUUUGAGCACCUGACCACUGCUUUUAUGCUGCCGAUGUAGUUAUGUUUAGCUUUGGUGUUAGUGUGCUUGUCUGUCCAUACAUCUUCCCCAGCUGUCUCUCUAACUGUAGCUGAUCAGCUUAGCUUUAAUCAGGGUCUUUAUUUUGCCCCGGGUCUGUCAGCAGGCCUGUAGAAAUGCCGCCGGUGACCCAUCACGUGCUUUCCCUGCAUGGAUGCCUGUGGCAGAUAAAACCCCUACAUCAUCAGUAGACCCAACACACACACACCUCUAUAUAGUCCAUCCGUUUUCCUUGUUGAGUGUUCAUUUCCUUUUAAUUUUUCUUAGAGCAGAAAAAUAAUUCACUCUAAUUAGGAUUUGUCUGUCUUUAUUUUUGUUUUCUCUCCAUUAUUGCAAUUUUGUAAAAUUUUGUUGGAUGUCUUGAUGAAUCAAAAAUUUGGGGAUUUGUUUGGUUGAAUUUCCUCUGUUAAACCUCUUUAUGAAAAAGCUUUUAACAAAAUACCAAAAGUCCUUGUGUGAGUUUUGACAUUGCUUGUGUAGAUUAUUACAGUUAUGACCUCUAUCAAUAAGUAAAAAUUGAAACUGAAUUAAUACC